UUUUAUCGGUUGGAACAAGUUAGUAACAGCCCCAGUUCUGUUGGGUAUAUGAGGCUAAAGGAGUUCAAUGCAUUGGCUAGAAAAGAUCUGGUCAUUGGUAAUUUUUAUUUUUAUUUUAGUGGAUCUCACCUGAUUGCUAUUUAUGAUGAGCAUGUUUGUGAUGAAUAACUUAAAAUUUUUUUUAUGUGUCUUUGAAAAAUAAUGCAAGCUAUGAAAAGAUCUGGUCAUUGGUAAUUUUUAUUUUUAUUUUAGUGGAACUCACCUGAUUGCUAUUUAUGAUGAGCAUGUUUGUGAUGAAUAACUUAAAAUUUUUUUUAUGUGUCUUUGAAAAAUAAUGCAAGCUAUGACUGUUUAAGUGUUUAUUCCCUCCCACUUUUUCCCACACGCACUUACUGC
RNAcentral lists this long non-coding RNA (396 nucleotides) under Gossypium barbadense (sea-island cotton). RNAcentral describes it as "long non-coding RNA (GBAR_LNC003794)". The record is from RNAcentral. Lineage: Eukaryota; Viridiplantae; Streptophyta; Magnoliopsida; Malvales; Malvaceae.